This 1585-nucleotide long non-coding RNA is filed under the name Triticum aestivum (bread wheat). RNAcentral's name for it is "long non-coding RNA (TAES_LNC024093)". Lineage: Eukaryota; Viridiplantae; Streptophyta; Magnoliopsida; Poales; Poaceae. The record is from RNAcentral.
CCCGACCGCGCCAUCGAGCUCGCGGUGAGCUCCUCUGCCGAUUCCCCCUUUUUCCCCUUCCGUUCGUCACCGUUUGCCGUCGUCCCCGAGCUCGGCCGUCCUCGUCCAUGGCCAUGCUCAAGUUUCCGUGUACGUGCGCGACCCCAGCGCCGCGCGCGCCUUAGCCGUCCGCCGCCACGCUCCUGUUGCUGUGCUGCUGCCCGUCUUGCUUGCCGCAGCCGCUGCUCCCGCUAGUCUUUGCCGCCGCUACCGUCGUGCACUCGUCGUCUCCGCGGCCGGAGCUCUGUUCCCGCGCGCCGUGCCUCGGUCCUGGCCGCGCCCUGCCAUGCAACCGCAGCCGCGUGCGGCAACCCCUGCUCCUGGUCGCGCCUGCUGCUCCGACGUGCACCCGUUGCCGCCCGUUGCAGUGCUGUUUCUGCUCCCGCAGCUACACUGCCGUUUCUGCUGCUGUCGGCUACUGCUUUUGCUGAAGCGCUGCCGCCGCUGCUCGUAGCUGCUUGCUACCGACUAGUCGCUGAUGCUCUGCUAUGCUGCCACUUCCGCAUUGAGCUGCUACCACUGCUGCUCAAUCACGUUGAGCUCACGCGAGGCCAUGGCAAACACAACCCGAUGGCUGGCUAUGUCCCUGCUAUGUAUGACCAGGCUUUGUAGCGUAUGUGUGUGUUAGGUUAGUAGUGGCCCACUGCCAUGUGGCCCCCGCUUUUUAGGUUAGUUAAUUACUACUUUGUCUAACAUGCAUAUGGCAGUGGAACCCCCACCACUAAUUAGGCUGAAUUAAAACAAUCUGUUUAACACAUGAGUGUAUGCCAUAUGGGUCCCGUUUUGACCCUGUUGACCGAUCAACAUUGACUGGUCAACUGCUGACUUUAACACUGACCCCCCACAUUCAUACACUAUGGCUAGAAUAACACUAGGUGACAAAACUAAUUUCUGUUUUAUUUUCGAAUUAAAAGAAUUCCAAAACACUAUUUAAAACUUCAGAAAAUCAUAGUAAAAUAACCGUAAGUCAGAUGAAAAAGUUCUAUACAUGAAAGUUGCUCAGAAAAACGUGACGAAUCCGAAUACGCCCUUCGUUCAUCUAUCACGCGUACCUUGCACAACGAACAUGGAACCAUCCCCCUCUGUUUCGUUUGUCCGAAAAUACCAAACUUCGGGAAAACAUUCCGGGAUGUUCUCCCCCUUCGCCGGUAUCGUGUAACACUGCGUUAGAACACCUGUAGCGAUGCUUUUGUCUUGUCAUGCAUAGUACUAUAUUUGUUUGCUUUCUAUUUACUGUUUCUCCCCGCUCUUCUUCUCCGGUAGAGCCCGAGACCGCUGCUGAUGCCACUGUGAUUGACUACGUCACCGACGACCCUUCUUCCCUUUCAUCGGAGCUUCCAGGCAAGCCCCCCUUUGAUCAUCCCGAUAUUGCCCAUUCCAUUCUCUCAUGCUUGCAUUAGAUUUUGCUACUGUUAUUGAUUGCUCCUAUUCUAAUGCAUAACCUACUUUUGUAACCGCUCAUUGUACCUUACCUGCUUAUCCUAAACUGCUUAGUAUAGGCUGGUUAGAGAUCCAUCAGUGACCCCCACCUUGUUCUUGUUGCCCC